RNAcentral lists this unclassified non-coding RNA (416 nucleotides) under Hevea brasiliensis (rubber tree). Lineage: Eukaryota; Viridiplantae; Streptophyta; Magnoliopsida; Malpighiales; Euphorbiaceae. The record is from RNAcentral.
UCGAUAGUGACUAGUAACUAUACACACACACAUACAUAUGGAGGCCUAAAAGUUCCAUGCAAGAUCAUCCAUAGAAUCGAGUUCUCGACACAUCGAACUAGACAACAAUGUAGAUUCCACAAACUCAAGACCAAAGCUAGAGCCGUCAAAUGAAGCAUCCAUAUCUUGGACACCUUUGGCUGCAUCUACUUCCUCCGUAGCUUGGUUAUUUUCUUGUUCUUGUGCUUGCAGAACUUCCAUUCUUGGAGCUUCAAAGUUCUCAGCAAUGGUAUUAUGACCCCAGAAACAAUUUUCAUCUAACAGACCAAACCCAGAUGGGUUCACUGAGGAAGAAGAAGAAGAAAUGGCUGUGUUCUGAAAGGAUGAUACAUAGGGGAAAAUGGUAGAAUCAAGGGAGUUUUGAUGAUCAUUGACAG